GCUAAUACAUGCAAGUCGAGCGGACAGAUGGGAGCUUGCUCCCUGAUGUUAGCGGCGGACGGGUGAGUAACACGUGGGUAACCUGCCUGUAAGACUGGGAUAACUCCGGGAAACCGGGGCUAAUACCGGAUGGUUGUUUGAACCGCAUGGUUCAAACAUAAAAGGUGGCUUCGGCUACCACUUACAGAUGGACCCGCGGCGCAUUAGCUAGUUGGUGAGGUAACGGCUCACCAAGGCAACGAUGCGUAGCCGACCUGAGAGGGUGAUCGGCCACACUGGGACUGAGACACGGCCCAGACUCCUACGGGAGGCAGCAGUAGGGAAUCUUCCGCAAUGGACGAAAGUCUGACGGAGCAACGCCGCGUGAGUGAUGAAGGUUUUCGGAUCGUAAAGCUCUGUUGUUAGGGAAGAACAAGUACCGUUCGAAUAGGGCGGUACCUUGACGGUACCUAACCAGAAAGCCACGGCUAACUACGUGCCAGCAGCCGCGGUAAUACGUAGGUGGCAAGCGUUGUCCGGAAUUAUUGGGCGUAAAGGGCUCGCAGGCGGUUUCUUAAGUCUGAUGUGAAAGCCCCCGGCUCAACCGGGGAGGGUCAUUGGAAACUGGGGAACUUGAGUGCAGAAGAGGAGAGUGGAAUUCCACGUGUAGCGGUGAAAUGCGUAGAGAUGUGGAGGAACACCAGUGGCGAAGGCGACUCUCUGGUCUGUAACUGACGCUGAGGAGCGAAAGC
This 731-nucleotide ribosomal RNA is filed under the name Bacillus subtilis. Its description in RNAcentral is "bacterial SSU rRNA". It matches the Rfam family "Bacterial small subunit ribosomal RNA", at positions 46 to 760 of the family's 1533-position model. Lineage: Bacteria; Bacillati; Bacillota; Bacilli; Caryophanales; Bacillaceae. The record is from RNAcentral.